RNAcentral lists this long non-coding RNA (1130 nucleotides) under Apteryx rowi (Okarito brown kiwi). RNAcentral describes it as "lncRNA (ENSARWG00000006764.1)". The record is from RNAcentral. Lineage: Eukaryota; Metazoa; Chordata; Aves; Apterygiformes; Apterygidae.
UGUCCUCCAUGUUCUCCACGUCUUAUUGAGCCCCAUAGUGUCUUUCCAUGUUCCCGUGUGUCCCCACAUGUCCCCCAUGUCCCCUUGAGCCCCAUGGUGUGUCCCCACAUCCCCAUAUGUCCUCCACGCCUUAUUGAACCCCAUGGUGUCUUUCCAUAUCCCUAUGUGUCCCCACACGUCCCCCAUGUCCUCUCGAGUCCCAUGGUGUGUCUCCAUGUCCCCACGUGUUCUCCACAUCCCAUCAAGCCCCAUGGUGUGCCCCCACGUCCCCAUGUGUCCCCACAUAUCCCCCGUGUCCCCUUGAGCCCCAUGGUGUGCCUCCAUGUCCCCACAUGUUCUCCAUGUCUCCUUGAGCUCCGUGGCAUGUCUCCAUGUCCCCAUGUAUCCCCACAUGUCCCCCAUGUCCCCUCGAGCCCCACGGUGUGUCCCCACAUCCCCAUGUCUUAUUGAGCACCAUGGUGUCUUUCCAUGUUCCCACGUGUCCCCACAUGUCCCCCAUGUCCUCUCAAGUCCCAUGGUGUGUCUCCAUGUCCCCCCAUGUUCUCCACGUCUCCUCGAGCUCCGUGGCGUGUCCCCACGUCCCCACGCGUCCCCCCCGCGCCCCCCGUGCCGGCGCGGGACCUGGGGCAGCUGCCGGUCGGAGCCCUUGAGGCGGGCGACGCACUUCUGGAAGAAGACGUGCACCUCGCUCUUCUCGGCGCUCGAGGUGAGGUCCAGGGAGCCGAGGGCGGCCGCGUGCUCGUCGCAGCGGCUCCGCGAGAAGGUGAAGGCCACCACGGGCAGCUGCUCGCGGGCCCGCAGGGCGCCCAGCAGCGCCAGCCACACGCCCUUGUCCUGCGCGGCGGCGCGGCCUCAGCGGGGCCCCGCCAAACGGGACCCCAAAUCCCCCGGGGACCACAAAUCCCCUCAAAAUGGGACCCCAAAUCCCCCCGAAACGGGACCCCAAACCCCCCCAAACGGGACCCCAAAUGCCCCGGGGACCUCAAAUCCCCCCCAAAACGGGGCUCCAACUGUCCUGGGGAUCCCAAAUCCCCUGAAACGGGACCCCAACCCACUCAGAGACCCCAAAUCCCCCCAAAACGGGACCCCAGCUGCCCCAGGGACCUCAAAUCCCCUCAAAAUGGGACCCC